Long non-coding RNA from Mustela erminea (ermine), 402 nucleotides. RefSeq lists it as uncharacterized. NCBI's taxonomy places the organism in Eukaryota, Metazoa, Chordata, Mammalia, Carnivora, Mustelidae. The record is from RefSeq and is a predicted model, not a curated record. The transcript has 3 exons.
CGUUUCCGCUGCUUUGACAACAGUUUGUGCCAGACCGCCUUCUUGGACCUCAAAGGCUGUUCCACCUGAGAAGAAAACACGGGGCUUGCGGUGACUUCAGGAGGUUACAUCACAGCAACCACAGCGAAGCUCCUGGCCAGCAAAAUCCAGGCUGGACAGAUGCCGCCAGACAAUUCUCCUGGUUGUGGGGCCCUUGUGCCCGGUGCUCUAAAACAGCAGGUGGAUGGAGUGAGAGGAGAGCCAACGAUGACUGCAAGAAGACCCUUCAGAGGGAAUUUAAGAGAAAUGUCCACAGAUCAGGAAUCUAAAAGAUCCUGUCUUCAUAUAUCUCACAUGGGGAACAGAUGUGUUUGCCAGAAGUUGAAUGCAAAAUGAAUUUUGGAAAAUCAAAUAAAAAUUAUU